This 1239-nucleotide long non-coding RNA is filed under the name Nicotiana tabacum (common tobacco). Its description in RNAcentral is "long non-coding RNA (NTAB_LNC006308)". The record is from RNAcentral. Lineage: Eukaryota; Viridiplantae; Streptophyta; Magnoliopsida; Solanales; Solanaceae.
UCGUGAUUAUUGGAUGCACGUGGAACCCCAGAAAGUAAAUUCUCCUGUGUAUGUCAUAUUUAUAUUCAGGAAAAUAUGUCACAUAUUAUUAGCUUACUUAUGGUGUUGGUGUGUGUGGGUAUCUGUUUGUCUAUACAUAUUUAUUACUGUACUGAAAAUCUGAAAUUGCUGAUACCCAUUUUCCAUUUUCCCUUUUCUCUGCAUUCUCAUCUCUGUAAGACACUCUGUCCUUCUCUGUCUUGGUUCAGUGGUUCUGGUUGCAGAAAUAUAAAAAUAUUGAAUGGAUUUAUGAUUCUAAGAAUCUUUUUUUUUUAACACUCUACGUUUACUUGCUGGGCUUUGUGAUCCCAAGUUUAUUGAUGAUAAAGGGUGAAGUUUUUUCUGAUCUGGGUCUUGUCUGUAAUGAUGUUUGUGAAACUUCUCUUGACUUGCAUGUACUUGAUUCAAGGUUUUCAAGUACUUCUUCAACUUAUUUUAUUUUCCCUUUUGGUUGUUUUAUAUGCACUACUUGUUUGAUUGUUACUCUCUAUCCACUGUUACCACUUUUAGGUUGUUGAUGAAUAGGCUUUUAGUUUUGAGAAUGCCAAAUUAUUGAGGAUUCGUACAGCAAACAACAACUAAUUUAGGGUCUAGGCGUGGUUAAUGUUCUAGUUGAAAUGUCAAAGAUCAGCUGUACUGUUGUAAUUAUGUAAUGUACAGGGGAGGUACAUGUAAAUUGUUUACUGAAUUGUCAUUUUGCUUUAGUGUUGAAUUCUUUCACAGAGACUUCAAGAACAUAGAAUUGACCAAAAAAUAAGAAGGCUGUAAUUUUCUUUGGAAUCGUAGAAUUAGUGAAUCUGUAUUUUGACUUCAUUAACGAGCAUUAUGGGAUUGCUAUGCAUGUAUUUAUCAGUCCAGUGAAUUUAUAUGCAGCAGAAAUGAGAGAGAGAGAGAGAGAGAGAGAAAAUUAGUGUUGGAUUGCGACGAGCAUAAAUGGGCGACAUAGACACUGAAGAUUCAUAUCGCCGACACCAACUUGCUUGGGAUUGAGGCAUACUUGUUUGUUUUUAUUCGUCAGGCGAAUCGAAGUGAAUACAUUCCCUGCAGUUCACUUCUUGUAUGUUGUGAUUUGUGCAGAAGAGAAGUAUUCUCUAACAUCCUUUAGAGAAGGAUGGCUCUUUCUGGAGCUAAAGAAGAUGCAAGAGAGGUGAGGAUUUAUGAGUAUUUGGAUGAACUAAGUGCUGAUCUGGCAGACUAUAU